This 253-nucleotide ribosomal RNA is filed under the name uncultured prokaryote. RNAcentral's name for it is "partial 16S ribosomal RNA". It matches the Rfam family "Bacterial small subunit ribosomal RNA", at positions 524 to 776 of the family's 1533-position model. The record is from RNAcentral.
UACAGAGGGUGCGAGCGUUAAUCGGAGUUACUGGGCGUAAAGGGCGCGUAGGUGGUUGUGUGUGUGUGAUGUGAAAGCCCCGGGCUUAACCUGGGAAGUGCAUCGCAAACUACACAACUUGAGUAGGUGAGAGGGUAGCGGAAUUUCCGGUGUAGCGGUGAAAUGCGUAGAUAUCGGAAGGAACGUCAAUGGCGAAGGCAGCUACCUGGCACCAUACUGACACUGAGGCGCGAGAGCGUGGGGAGCGAACAGG